GGGCGCACGGUGGAUGCCUUGACACUAGGAGUCGAUGAAGGACGGGACUAACGCCGAUAUGCUUCGGGGAGCUGUAAGUAAGCUUUGAUCCGAAGAUUUCCGAAUGGGGAAACCCACCAUACGUAAUGGUAUGGUAUCCUUAUCUGAAUACAUAGGAUAAGGAAGACAGACCCAGGGAACUGAAACAUCUAAGUACCUGGAGGAAGAGAAAGCAAAUGCGAUUUCCUGAGUAGCGGCGAGCGAAACGGAACAUAGCCCAAACCAAGAGGCUUGCCUCUUGGGGUUGUAGGACAUUCUAUACGGAGUUACAAAGGAACGAGGUAGACGAAGCGACCUGGAAAGGUCCGUCGUAGAGGGUAACAACCCCGUAGUCGAAACUUCGUUCUCUCUUGAAUGUAUCCUGAGUACGGCGGAACACGUGAAAUUCCGUCGGAAUCUGGGAGGACCAUCUCCCAAGGCUAAAUACUCCCUAGUGAUCGAUAGUGAACCAGUACCGUGAGGGAAAGGUGAAAAGCACCCCGGAAGGGGAGUGAAAGAGAUCCUGAAACCGUGUGCCUACAAAUAGUCAGAGCCCGUUAACGGGUGAUGGCGUGCCUUUUGUAGAAUGAACCGGCGAGUUACGAUCCCGUGCGAGGUUAAGCUGAAGAGGCGGAGCCGCAGCGAAAGCGAGUCUGAAUAGGGCGUUUAGUACGUGGUCGUAGACCCGAAACCAGGUGAUCUACCCAUGUCCAGGGUGAAGUUCAGGUAACACUGAAUGGAGGCCCGAACCCACGCACGUUGAAAAGUGCGGGGAUGAGGUGUGGGUAGCGGAGAAAUUCCAAUCGAACCUGGAGAUAGCUGGUUCUCCCCGAAAUAGCUUUAGGGCUAGCCUUAAGUGUAAGAGUCUUGGAGGUAGAGCACUGAUUGGACUAGGGGUCCUCAUCGGAUUACCGAAUUCAGUCAAACUCCGAAUGCCAAUGACUUAUCCUUAGGAGUCAGACUGCGAGUGAUAAGAUCCGUAGUCAAAAGGGAAACAGCCCAGACCGCCAGCUAAGGUCCCAAAGUGUGUAUUAAGUGGAAAAGGAUGUGGAGUUGCUUAGACAACUAGGAUGUUGGCUUAGAAGCAGCCACCAUUUAAAGAGUGCGUAAUAGCUCACUAGUCGAGUGACUCUGCGCCGAAAAUGUACCGGGGCUAAAUACACCACCGAAGCUGCGGAUUGAUACCAAUGGUAUCAGUGGUAGGGGAGCGUUCUAAGGACAGUGAAGUCAGACCGGAAGGACUGGUGGAGUGCUUAGAAGUGAGAAUGCCGGUAUGAGUAGCGAAAGACGGGUGAGAAUCCCGUCCACCGAAUGCCUAAGGUUUCCUGAGGAAGGCUCGUCCGCUCAGGGUUAGUCAGGACCUAAGCCGAGGCCGACAGGCGUAGGCGAUGGACAACAGGUUGAUAUUCCUGUACCACCUCUUUAUCGUUUGAGCAAUGGAGGGACGCAGAAGGAUAGAAGAAGCGUGCGAUUGGUUGUGCACGUCCAAGCAGUUAGGCUGAUAAGUAGGCAAAUCCGCUUAUCGUGAAGGCUGAGCUGUGAUGGGGAAGCUCCUUAUGGAGCGAAGUCUUUGAUUCCCCGCUGCCAAGAAAAGCUUCUAGCGAGAUAAAAGGUGCCUGUACCGCAAACCGACACAGGUAGGCGAGGAGAGAAUCCUAAGGUGUGCGAGAGAACUCUGGUUAAGGAACUCGGCAAAAUGACCCCGUAACUUCGGGAGAAGGGGUGCUUUCUUAACGGAAAGCCGCAGUGAAUAGGCCCAAGCGACUGUUUAGCAAAAACACAGCUCUCUGCGAAGCCGUAAGGCGAAGUAUAGGGGGUGACACCUGCCCGGUGCUGGAAGGUUAAGGAGAGGGGUUAGCGUAAGCGAAGCUCUGAACUGAAGCCCCAGUAAACGGCGGCCGUAACUAUAACGGUCCUAAGGUAGCGAAAUUCCUUGUCGGGUAAGUUCCGACCCGCACGAAAGGUGUAACGAUUUGGGCACUGUCUCAACCAGAGACUCGGUGAAAUUAUAGUACCUGUGAAGAUGCAGGUUACCCGCGACAGGACGGAAAGACCCCGUGGAGCUUUACUGUAGCCUGAUAUUGAAUUUUGGUACAGUUUGUACAGGAUAGGCGGGAGCCUUUGAAACCGGAGCGCUAGCUUCGGUGGAGGCGCUGGUGGGAUACCGCCCUGACUGUAUUGAAAUUCUAACCUACGGGUCUUAUCGACCCGGGAGACAGUGUCAGGUGGGCAGUUUGACUGGGGCGGUCGCCUCCUAAAGUGUAACGGAGGCGCCCAAAGGUUCCCUCAGAAUGGUUGGAAAUCAUUCGUAGAGUGCAAAGGCAUAAGGGAGCUUGACUGCGAGACCUACAAGUCGAGCAGGGACGAAAGUCGGGCUUAGUGAUCCGGUGGUUCCGCAUGGAAGGGCCAUCGCUCAACGGAUAAAAGCUACCCCGGGGAUAACAGGCUUAUCUCCCCCAAGAGUCCACAUCGACGGGGAGGUUUGGCACCUCGAUGUCGGCUCAUCGCAUCCUGGGGCUGUAGUCGGUCCCAAGGGUUGGGCUGUUCGCCCAUUAAAGCGGUACGCGAGCUGGGUUCAGAACGUCGUGAGACAGUUCGGUCCCUAUCCGUCGUGGGCGUAGGAAUUUUGAGAGGAGCUGUCCUUAGUACGAGAGGACCGGGAUGGACGCACCGCUGGUGUACCAGUUGUUCUGCCAAGGGCAUAGCUGGGUAGCUAUGUGCGGAAGGGAUAAGUGCUGAAAGCAUCUAAGCAUGAAGCCCCCCUCAAGAUGAGAUUUCCCAUAGCGUAAGCUAGUAAGAUCCCUGAAAGAUGAUCAGGUUGAUAGGUUCGAGGUGGAAGCAUGGUGACAUGUGGAGCUGACGAAUACUAAUAGAUCGAGGACUUAACCAU
RNAcentral lists this ribosomal RNA (2908 nucleotides) under Bacillus anthracis str. CDC 684. RNAcentral's name for it is "bacterial LSU rRNA". It matches the Rfam family "Bacterial large subunit ribosomal RNA". Lineage: Bacteria; Bacillati; Bacillota; Bacilli; Caryophanales; Bacillaceae. The record is from RNAcentral.